CUAUCCUCCGCAGCCGGAAGAGUCUUGAUGAAAGCUAUCCCUAGUACGAGAGGACCGGGAUGGACGGAGCUCUAGUGUGUCAGUUGUCCUGCCAAGGGCAUGGCUGAUUAGCUACCUCCGGAAGGGAUAACCGCUGAAAGCAUCUAAGUGGGAAACCCGUUCAAAGAUGAGGACUCUCACAGGGUUAACCUGGUAAGGCCCGUGGAAGACCACCACGUUGAUAGGCCGGAAGUGUAAGUGCGGUAACGCACUCAGCUGACCGGUACUAAUCGGCCGAGGGCUUUAUUUUG
RNAcentral lists this ribosomal RNA (290 nucleotides) under Actinomycetota bacterium. RNAcentral's name for it is "Actinobacteria bacterium partial 23S ribosomal RNA". It matches the Rfam family "Bacterial large subunit ribosomal RNA", at positions 2638 to 2925 of the family's 2925-position model. Lineage: Bacteria; Bacillati; Actinomycetota. The record is from RNAcentral.